GAGGGUAUAGCUCUGUGGUAGAGCACGUGCUUAGCAUGCACGUGAUCCUGAGUUCAAUCUCCAGUAUUUCCA
RNAcentral lists this transfer RNA (72 nucleotides) under Camelus bactrianus (Bactrian camel). It matches the Rfam family "tRNA". Rfam says of the family: Transfer RNA (tRNA) molecules are approximately 80 nucleotides in length. RNAcentral also lists the same sequence under 1 other name. Lineage: Eukaryota; Metazoa; Chordata; Mammalia; Artiodactyla; Camelidae. The record is from Rfam by way of RNAcentral.